UACGGGAGGCAGCAGUGGGGAAUAUUGCACAAUGGGCGCAAGCCUGAUGCAGCCAUGCCGCGUGUAUGAAAAAGGCCUUCGGGUUGUAAAGUACUUUCAGUCGUGAGGAAGGUGUUAAGGUUAAUAACCUUAGCAAUUGACGUUAGCGACAGAAGAAGCACCGGCUAACUCCGUGCCAGCAGCCGCGGUAAUACGGAGGGUGCGAGCGUUAAUCGGAAUUACUGGGCGUAAAGGGCACGCAGGCGGUUAAUUAAGUUGGAUGUGAAAUCCCCGGGCUUAACCUGGGAAUGGCAUUCAAGACUGGUUAGCUAGAGUCUUGUAGAGGGGGUUAGAAUUCCAUGUGUAGCGGUGAAAUGCGUAGAGAUGUGGAGGAAUACCGGUGGCGAAGGCGGCCCCUGGACAAAGGACUGACGCUCAUGUGCGAAAGCGUGGGGAGCAAA
RNAcentral lists this ribosomal RNA (440 nucleotides) under uncultured bacterium. RNAcentral's name for it is "bacterial SSU rRNA". It matches the Rfam family "Bacterial small subunit ribosomal RNA", at positions 340 to 772 of the family's 1533-position model. The record is from RNAcentral.